This 528-nucleotide long non-coding RNA is filed under the name Rosa chinensis. RNAcentral's name for it is "sRNA RchiOBHm_Chr1g0349611". Lineage: Eukaryota; Viridiplantae; Streptophyta; Magnoliopsida; Rosales; Rosaceae. The record is from RNAcentral.
UUCUUUUGAAGUUUCAGGUGAUCUCAUAAUUCAAGUGAAGGGAAGUAGAUAUUUGCUUCACAAGGUCACACAUUGCAGCUUCAAGCAUUCUUCAAAUCUUGCAUACUCCACGGCUGGAUGGACAAAAUUUCCACUCUUAUACUCUACAAAGCAUGAAGCUGACAACCUUUCAGAUCAGUACACGAAUGAGCUUUGUGGUUGUUGUACAUAGUGUUAAAUGAACAUGUGAAAAUUUUGUUUCAAACUGAAAACCUCGUUUGAUUAUGGGUAGUUGUUAGUUCACUUAGAACGACAGAAAUUGAUAACUGUUAUGCACCCCUAAAUGCAGUUAUUUUUGUCUAUACAAGCGGUUUCAUUUGUAAUAAUACCAAGUCCCGCAGCAAAGCGCGGGUAAAUUUUCUAGUUGAUGCUAUGUACGAAGUCUGCUAUCAAUUAUUCCUAUCUCUAGACUCUACUGCAUUGUGUAAAUGUAAAUAUUCACACUGCUCCAAGAGUAUUAGAAUGUUCUUGUUGGUUGUUGGUUGUUAA